This 683-nucleotide ribosomal RNA is filed under the name Alteromonas sp. RNAcentral describes it as "bacterial SSU rRNA". It matches the Rfam family "Bacterial small subunit ribosomal RNA", at positions 59 to 737 of the family's 1533-position model. The record is from RNAcentral. Lineage: Bacteria; Pseudomonadati; Pseudomonadota; Gammaproteobacteria; Alteromonadales; Alteromonadaceae.
CAGUCGAACGGUAACAGGAUGUGCUUGCACAUCGCUGACGAGUGGCGGACGGGUGAGUAAUGCUUGGGAACAUGCCUUUGUGAGGGGGAUAACAGUUGGAAACGACUGCUAAUACCGCAUAACGUCUUUGGACCAAAGGGGGCUUCCGCUCCAGCGCCAAGAAUGGCCCAAGUGAAAUUAGCUUGGUGGUGGGGGAAAGGCUUACCAAGGGCACGAUCUCUAACUGUUCUGAAAGGAAAAUCAACCACACUGGGACCGAAAAGCGGCCCAAACUCCUACCGGAGGCAGCAGUGGGGAAUAUUGGACAAUGGGGGGAACCCUGAUGCAACCCUGCCGCGUGGGUGAAGAAAGCCUUCCGGUUGUAAAGCACUUUCCGUUGUGAAGAAAGGUUAGUUGUUUAUACCCAAUAACCGUGACGUUUGACACUAAAGAAACAACGGGCAACUCCUUGCCCCCUGCCCCCGUUAUACGGAAGGUGCAAGGGUUUAUCGGAAUUACCGGGCGUAAAGCGCAAACCGGCCGUUUGUUGAGCUAUAAGUGAAAGCCCCAAGCUCCAGCUUGGAAGGGCCUUUUGAACUUGAUAACGUAAGUCUUGGGUAAGGGAGUGGAAUUCCGAGUGUAACGGGGUAAAUGCGUAAAGCUUUGGAGGAACAUCGAUGGCCAAUGGCACUCGCUGGUCCCAG